Molecule: ribosomal RNA, 394 nt
Filed under: Sclerogryllus sp. India
Lineage: Eukaryota; Metazoa; Arthropoda; Insecta; Orthoptera; Gryllidae
Description: partial 12S ribosomal RNA
Source: RNAcentral
UAUUAUUAUAUAUUUAAAUUUUUAUGUCUGGGUAGUAAGAGAAGGGCUUGAAACUCAAAGAAUUUGGCGGUGUUUUAGUCUAUUCAGAGGAAUCUGUCUUGUAAUUGAUAAUACACGAUUUUUGGUACUUGAUUUUGUUGUCAGCUUAUAUACCGCCGUCAGUAAGAUUAUCUUUGUAGGGAAUUAAAUUUCGUUAUAUAUAAUUUUAUUAUAUGUCAGGUCAAGGUGUAGUUAAUAAUUAAGUGUUGAUGGAUUACAAUAAAAUUAUUUAUAUGGAUGAUAUUUAUAUAUAAUUAUUUGAAGGUGGAUUUGAUUGUAAAUUAAUCAAAAUUGGUUGUUUGAUUAUAGCUCUAGAAUGUGUACAUAUCGCCCGUCGCUCUCGUUUUAAGGUGAG